Molecule: ribosomal RNA, 269 nt
Filed under: uncultured prokaryote
Description: partial 16S ribosomal RNA
Rfam family: Bacterial small subunit ribosomal RNA
Source: RNAcentral
UACGGAGGUAGCAAGCGUUGUUCGGAUUCACUGGGUGUAAAGGACAUGUAGGCGUCUCUUUAAGUCGAAUGUGAAAUCCCUUGGCUCAACCAAGGAACUGCAUCCGAUACUGUUGAGAUUGAGUACGAGAGAGGUAAGCGGAAUUCCGGAAGUAAGGGUGAAAUCUGUAGAUAUCCGGAAGAACACCAUUAGCGAAGGCGGCUUACUGGCUCGAUACUGACGCUGAAAUGUGAAAGCUAGGGUAGCAAACAGGAUUAGAUACCCCAGUA